RNAcentral lists this ribosomal RNA (465 nucleotides) under uncultured bacterium. RNAcentral's name for it is "partial 16S ribosomal RNA". It matches the Rfam family "Bacterial small subunit ribosomal RNA", at positions 28 to 507 of the family's 1533-position model. The record is from RNAcentral.
GACGAACGCUGGCGGCGUGCUUAACACAUGCAAGUCGAACGGUGAACUCCGCUUGCGGGGGGAUCAGUGGCGAACGGGUGAGUAACACGUGGGCAACCUGCCCUCAGCUCUGGGAUAACUCCAAGAAAUUGGGGCUAAUACCGGAUAUGACCGCUGACCGCAUGGUCUGGUGGUGGAAAGAUUUAUCGGCUGGGGAUGGGCCCGCGGCCUAUCAGCUUGUUGGUGGGAUAGUGGCCUACCAAGGCGACGACGGGUAGCCGGCCUGAGAGGGUGACCGGCCACACUGGGACUGAGACACGGCCCAGACUCCUACGGGAGGCAGCAGUGGGGAAUAUUGCGCAAUGGGCGAAAGCCUGACGCAGCGACGCCGCGUGGGGGAUGACGGCCUUCGGGUUGUAAACCUCUUUCAGCAGGGACGAAGCGAAAGUGACGGUACCUGCAGAAGAAGCACCGGCCAACUACGUG